CAUUUUAUAAAAUAUUGAGGAACUUAAUGUCCCUCUUGAAGAUAUUCUUGUAUUCAAGCCUUAUCUGAGUGAGUAAUUGAGGCAAUCUAUUGAGAGCCCCAGUAUAUUGGAUCACUUUUCAAAGUGUUCAGACACCUCCAUCUGGGAACUGUUUCUCUCUAUGCCUGUCAAUAUUAGAUUAGUUUUAUCUUUUUAGGGUUUCAUGCAAAAGGAAUCAUACAGUGUAUUUUUGUGUGGCUUUUUUUUUCACUCAGGAUAAUGAUUUUGAGAUUCAUCCUAUAGUUGUAAUUUUUUGAAGAAAUAAUGUCCAAAACUUCCCAAAGUUGAUGAAACAAUGUUAAUUUACACAUCCAAGAAGCUUACUGAACUCCAAGUAGGAUAAAUACAAAGAUAUAGUUUUACCUAGACACAUCAUAGUCAAACUGUUGGAAGCCACACACAAAGAAAAAAUCUUAAAAGAAGAAAGAGAAAAACAACUGAACAUGUACAGGAGAGCAUCAACAUAAAUAAUAUCUAACUGCUCAUCAGAGAAGAUAGACCCUAGAAGGCAGAGAAAUGGCAUAUUCAAAAUACUGAAAGAAAAAAUGGUAACGAAGAAUUUUUUUAUCCAGCAAGACUAUCCACUAAUUAUAAAGGUGAAAUAAGGACAUUCUUAAAUUUAAAAAGACUGGAAGAAUUUCUUGAUAUCAGAACUGAAUUGUGAGAAAUACUAAAGGAAAUUCUUUGGGCUGGAAGAAAAUGACAUCAGACAGUACCUCGAAUCAGCUGGAAGAAAUUAAGAGAGCUAGAAGUAAUAAAUUUCUGGGUUUUAAAAAAAAGAAUCUAUAAAUAUAUUUUCUCAUUUCUUCUGUUAAAUUCUUUAAAGGACAUGAGAUUGUACAAAGAAAUAAUUGUAACAUUGUGGUAUUGGUUUGGUAACAUAUAUAGAUAUAAUAUAUAUAAAAAUAAUAGCACAAGAGGGGAAAGUAAUAGAGUUACAUUGGAGGAAACAUUCUAUAUUUCAUAGGAAUUAAGUUAAUAUUCGUUUGAAAUAGACCAUAGUCAGUUAAAAUGCAUAUUGGAAUCCCUAGCACAGACACUAGGAAAAUAGCUCAAAAACAGUAAAAAAUGUUCAAUAGAGGAAUUAAAAUGAUGUACUGAAAGAUUUAUUUAGCACAAAAGAAGUUAAUAAAGGAAGGACAGAGAACAAAAAAGCCUGAAGACAUAGAAAACAAAUAGCAAAAUGGCAAAUGUAACUCUGAUCCUAUCAAUAACUGCACUAAAUGUGAAUGGUCUAAAGAAAACCAAUUAGAAGACAAAGAUUGGGAAAAUGAAUAAUAAAGCAAGAUCCAACUAUAUGUGAUCUACAAAAGACACAUCUUAGAUUAAAAGACAAACAGAAGUUGAAACUAGAAGGAUGGAAAAGACACAUCAUACAAAUAGUUACCAAAAGAUUGCUAGAGGGUUGUAUUAAUACUGGACAAUGCAGACUUUAAAACAAGAAAUAUUAUUAGAAGCAAAGAGGGACAUAUCCAAAUGACAAAAUGUCAAUACAUCAGAAAGAUAUAAAAAUUAUCAAUGCUUACAAAUGUAACAACAGAGCUUCAAGAUACGUGAAGUAAAAUUUGACAGAAAUGAAAGGAGAAAGAGACAAUUCAACAACAAUACUUGGAAAUUUCAAAUGCCUCCUGUCCAUAAUGGAUUAAAAAGAGGAAAGACAAUCAGCAAGGUUAUAAAAGACUUGACCAGCACUAUCAACCAAAUUAAAUUAAGUGACGUGUAUAGAUCACUGCACUCAAUGACUACAAAAUACACAUUCUCUUCAAUAGCACAUGGAACAUGCUUCAGGAUAGACCGUGUACUCAGCCAUAAAAUAAAUUCAACAGAUUUAGCAAGAAUGAAAUAAUAUAAAAUAUGUUCUCCAACCACAAUGGAAUGUGAGCUAUCAAGAAUGGAAUAUAUCUGGGAUAUCCACAAACAUUUGGAACUUAAAUGACAUCCAUCUGAAUAACACAUGAGUCAAAGAAUAAAUUGGGAACAAAAUUUGAAAGUACUUUGAAGUGAAUGAAAAUUUAAAAAAUAGAAUAUCAAAGUCUAUGGGAUGUGCCUAAAGCAGUACUUAAAGAGAAAUUUAUAGUAUUAAACACCUAUAGUGGAAGAGAGGAAAGUCUCAAAUCAAUAAUUUAAGUUCCCACCCUAAGAAAGGAAAGAAAGGAAAAUAAACCAAACUGAAAACAAGCAAAAGAAAGGAAAUACAAAAGAUUAGAACACAUGUCUGUGAAAUACAAAACACAAAAAUCAAUAAAACCAGAAAUUGGCUGUUUACCAGAUAAAGUUGACUAUCCCUUAGCUAGCAUCCCCAAGGAAGAGAGAAGAUAGAAUUUACCAAUAUCAGAAAUUAUAAAGGGCCACCCACAGAGAAAUUAAAGGAUUAUAAGAGAAUAUUAUGAACAACUUUAUGCCACAAAUUAGACAACUUAUAAGAUAUUGGCAAAUUCUUAGAUCCAAAUUUCCAAAACUGACUCAAAGAGAAAUAGAAAAUCUCCAUAGAUCUGUAACAAACAAGAAAAUUAAAUUAGUAAUUAAAACCCUUUCAGGGAAGAAAAGCCCAGAUUCGGAUGACUCAACUGGUGAAUUCCAUUGACUAUUAAUGGAGCAAAUAAUCCCAAUCUCCCACCAUCUAUUUCAGAAAAUAUCGAAGGAGAGAGCUGGUCUCACAUCAUUCUAUUAGGCCAGAGUUACCUUGAUUUCAAUGGCAAGUGAAGACAUCACAUGCAAAGACAAGACCACUAUCCCUCAUGAAUAUAAAUGAAAAAUCCUUAACGAUGUGUUAGUGAGUGAUGUCACCAAGAUGGGGGAGUAGGAGAGCUUAGCCUCUGUCCUCCCAGAAAGAUCAACAAUUAGACUGCUACCUACCCAUGAUCAAAAAGAGUUCUGGGAGAGCUCUAAAGCCCUCUUAAGAAACUUUAGCAACAUAGCAGAACAAAAAAUGUGAGGAUAACCACACAUAAAGAGAAAGAACAGCAGCUUCCUUUUGCCUGCAUCACCCCGUCCUUUAAGCUGGCAUUACUCAGUGCUAAGAGGGAACUCCUCAGCUAGAAAGAGCUCUCCUUUCAGGGAAAGAGAGAGCAGAGUGAACGACCAGCGUCCCAGCCUUUCAGGGCACACAUGAAGUACCCACUUUGGUUUCCCCCCACCCAGAGACUGGCAAAGCAGAGAGCUAUAGAGAUGGCUAGGGACAGGGAAGAAGAGCAGGGUUUACCAAUAUCGGGCACACAGCAGUAAAGACCACAGUUGUGUGACCUGUUCUAUAGAUAACCUCAUCGUGGAAGGGCAAGGGGAACAGUGCACUAAGAGAGAUACACAGCUAUGUGGGAGCAGGGGAGGAGCAGUCUCUGAACACGUUCCAGGAAAGGGGUCACCUUCCAUGCCAAGAUGAACUUUGCAUGAAUAAAGAUUUAAGUGAGGACAGACUGAGAAGAGUGAAGAGGGGAAUGGGGUGUCGACCAAAUUUCAUCCACCUGCAAUUUUACCUACUCAAAUUUUAUCUACCAUGGCAAGAAGUUAGUAUCUAAUAUUUUAAAAUUACUUUUAAAUACAAGUAUUCGUACUAGUUAUAUAAAUGGAGGUAAACACAAGAACAGCUAUGAUAGAAAUGGCUAAAGUGGUUUCCAUGGGGAAUGGAACUGGGGGGAUAGAAAGGACUGGGGUUGUGAGGUUGGGGAGGGCCUGUCACGGUUCUUUAUAAAGCCUUCAGUACUAUUUGAUUUUAAAGGCACAAGCAGGGAUUCCUUAGAUAAAUAUUAAUUUUUAAGUGAGUUUUAAGAAUGAGUAAGGUUUCUACAAGGAGAAACUUGUAGUUUCUCAGUUUACUUUUCCUGCCACUCUAGUGCCUACGACCACAGGGCGUGGGAAAGCCCUGGCCCCGGCUUCAGAGUGGCUGUGGCUUCACGGGAACAUGGAUGAUCUGUCCCUGUGGUACCACAGCAUCACGUCUGCCUGCGAUCCUGCUCUAAACCAGCAGCCUCUGUUACUGCCAGAAUCCCAGCAUCAUCCCCCCUGGCAGUUCUUCAUGCCAGGCCCCACCCACUGGACCAGACUCCUGAAAUGCUGAAAUGGACCUGAAUCCCUACUUUCUCCAUCCCUAGUUCAGCCUCCUCUUUCUAUACGUGGCCCACGUCAGCCUCUGGACAGCAUCCACGAUGCACUGAUGGUCUCCCACCAGAACUUAUUUGUACAUUUCUGCCUGUUCCUCCUUCACCCACUCUCUUCCUGCAGAAUGGCUUGGCUGCUCCUUGGAGCUCCUGCAGGAUCGAUGUAUCAGUUAGAGCAGCUCUAAGGAAACAUCUGGUGAGGGGGAAACAGGACUCACUCGAGGCAAUUACCAGACGUAGGAGGUACUGCCGAUUUCCACAACCAAAUAAUGCACUGCACCAAGCUCCAAGGUAGGAAAGGGCAGAGAUCCUAGAGCCAGGCUGCUGAGGUUGGAAUCCCUAUAACACCACUUACUAGCUGUGUGAUUUGGGGCUCUUGAUUGAACCUCUCUCUGUCUCAAUUUUCUAAUCUGUAAAAUGGGGCUACUAAUGGAUCAUGGAGGAUCCAAGCCGAAGAUACUGAAAUUGGUUAAGAGGUUCUUGCAUUAAUCCAGACAAAAGACAAUAAGGGUCUGAACUGAGGCAGUGACAGGGAGGAUGAAGCUGAGGAGACCGAAUUAGAAAGUUAUUUCGGAGGCUGAAUGGCACAAUUUGGUACCAAGUGACCAUGGGGGAUCAGGCAUGAGAAGAAGGGGACAGGUAGGAGGAGAGAGAAACCAUUUAAGUGUAGCUCCUAAUUUUUUUAUGAGGGUAGCUGAGUAAAUGUGGAUGCUAUUAACAUUGACAGUUCACAAAAGAGACUCAUAUUUUCUGUGUGUGGCAGGGAGGGGCAUAUUCCAGAGAUUUCUGUUGUAAUGAUGACAUAUCUCCUUUCAUUUUCAUCACCACACUGUGGUUCCGAUCCUCAGAUGAUGAAAGUAUGUCUGCAGCCUGACAUUUGUUACCUCACUUAAUCCUCACACCAGCCCCAUGAGGUAAACGUGCUGCUACUAUCUCUGUGAUGUAACAGGGUACUUGAGUCUCAGAGAGGUAAAGCAACUUGCCCAAGAUCACACAGCACCUUGGCUGGGAUUUAAAUCCAAGAGGAUUGGACUCCUUGAGCUAUCAGCCUUCCAGUAUUGCACACUGCCUCUCAAAUACACUCUUCCAGAGAGGCGUCCUAGAUAUUUUCAUCUGUGCAGUCCUCCUGCAUGAAAUAGUUCAGAUUCUUCUACCUAAUUUUCAUUUGAAACUCUCCUUGUAUACUCUAGAAUUUGUCCCAGCUGGUGAAAAGGUGUUUUACCAUAUUAUAUAUUUGUCACAGCUGCUCUAUAAACCUGCAUGUGUGCACUGUGUUGGCACGGUGUGGUUUCUGUGUCUAAUUACAGUGUUGAAAGCUACUACAUGCACAGAUAGAUAUGUAUAUAGAUUAGGAACACAGAACUGUUCCCCUUUCACAUAAAAGUGCAUGUGCUGUAGAGGAAGAAUAGCAUAUUUUUAACUCUUGAGCACUAUUUGCUUAGCUGAUAGCUAAGUGAAAUGAGGGGGUGUUAGAAAGCUGUGAAUAAUGUUCAAUAUGAAUAUUAUAGGUUACCUGGGAAAAAGGGGUUUUACAGUAUAAAAUGAUACUGCCAAAAUCCAGCAAAAGGCUUAAAAGUCCAAACCACUCUAAACAUUGAUUUGACUCAAUCGUGCAAGUUAGAACAUUCCAUUUCCCCAGAAAGAAGUCAUUCCUGAGAAAAACUGUGCAAAUGAAAUGUAAGAAGGAGAGAGAAGCAAAAGUAAGAUUGCAGAUCCACAAUGAACAGCGUCCACUUUCAUCUUUUGGGAAAUUUAUUUCUACUCCUCAAAAAAAGAGAGCCACAAAUAAUGGUUUUCCCGAUGAAACCACCCCAGCUGGAUCAUGCUAAAAAGCUUUCAGGAGGGAAGCAGUAAGUAAAUUCAACUGUUCAGAGGCAUUUGGAUGUCAUCCUAAAGCAGCAGCCCCAGUAAUCGCUGCGCCAUCAACAACUAAAAAGAUCCAGACUAUUAGAUGUGGACAACAGAGAAAUAAUGGAUGCUAAAGAGGUUGGAAACAGAAAUGAUGGCAUUCACCCACUACAUAGCUUCAAAGUGGAUGAGGGGGAAAUGGAGGCUCCAUUUUCUAACUACUGAACUAUUAAAACACACACACACACACACACACACAGACUGAUAAAUGCCAGUAUCAGUUUUAUCACGUAGGUGGUUAAACAGUCACUUUCUUCUUCAAUAUUUUGAAAUAUACAAGGACUUUGGUCUUCUACUAAUUUCAGAGUUGAAGAGGCAGGACGGCUUCCUUCUCUGCCAACGUGCAGACUGGGAAGAUGUGAUGCUGGGGCACCAAAGGUUCCAGAACCUUGGAGGCAGGAUGCUGGAACAUAAGGCAGGCAGGGACGCACAAAAUGUCUAUCCAUGAGCUUAAAGAAUUUUUGGAUAAGAACCAGUUCUGCUUCUCCAGCCAAGCUUUCGCUACUUGCCAAGAACAUUAUGCUUCGGUAGCCCAGUGAUUCUUGCAGUAAGGACCCACGAAGUCUGCUUACAUCAGAAUCAGCUGCAUCCCUUGUUGAAAUGCAGACGCCCAGGCCCCAACCUACUGAAGCAGAAUCUCUUGAGGUGGGGCAAGGAUUCUCAUGCCACUGUCCUUGAGACUUAGCAAGGUAAUUAAUGUGACCAGAUGUCGUGGUUUGACUGGGACAAUCCGAAAUUCCAAGAUCUUCGAAGUAUUAUGAUAUAGACUAGGGGUCCACAAACUACAGCCCAUGGACCGAAUUUGGCUGCCAUUUGUUUUUGUAAAUGGGUUUUAAUUGGAACACAGUCAUGUUCGUUCAUUUUUGUCUUUGGCUGUUUUGACCCUACAACAGCAAAGGUGGAUAGUUGCCACAGAGACUGUAUGGCAGGCAAAGUCUAAAAUAUUUACUAUCUGGCACUUUACAAAAAAAGCUGGUUCACUCCCAAUGUAGACCAAAGGUUUUCAACCAUUUCUGCACAUCAAAAUCAUGUAGGGAUUUUUAUAACACCACUUCCCCAGACCUAGUCCCAGAGUUUCUGAAUCAAUUGGCCUGGGGUAGGACUGGAUAUAGCUAUCAUUUAAAAGCCUGUUCAGGUGAUUCUAAUGCGUGGCCAGGAAGAGGCCAAUUGCUCUAAGGGAGACUGCACAUACUUUGGAACCAGGCUGAAAAGACUCUGCUCCAUAAUCCCUCCCUUCAUAAUCCGGCUGAGUGUCCUUGGGCAGCCCGUGUAACUUGCGUGAGUCUCAACUGCUUUAUCUGUAAAACAGAGCUACCAAUAGUCACUUUGUUGGGCGAGGUAUUAGGAAGAUGAGAGACUAUAUACGCACACCUCCCGAGACAGGGCUUAGCAUCCUGUGAGACUAAAUAAAUGGUACUGGCGGUGAUGAGGAGGAUGAUAAUGAUGAUAACCAUGAUGGAGGGUAAUGCCUAUGGCUUCAAUAAUGCAAUUGGAUAUACAUUCAUUAAGCACUGUCUGUGUGCUCUGGAAGGGGAAACCUUGAUAAAUAAGAUGUGAUGACCACCUGAAGGAGCUCACAGUCAAGUAAAACAAACAGGCACGUAAGAUAGUGACAGCAAGAGAAAAGAAAAACGGGCCAAGAAGAUGGAAAAACGAGUCACAAGAGAAACUAAAUUCUAAUAAAUAUAGACAAACAUGUAAACUUCAGCAAUAAUCAGGGAAAUGAAAAACAAAACUCGAAUGAGACAUUUUCUCCCAGCAAAUAGUCAAAUAUUAAAAAUAUCCCACCUUCACAGAAGCAUAAUUUUUACAGGCUUUUUAAAGGGUGAAUUGGCAGGUUAAAAUCUGCACACUUUUCAAAUGCUCUAUUUCCCUUCUAGGUAUGUAGUCUGGAGAAACACAUAUGCUCUAACAGACCUGUGUAGGAACUUUCACUGUGGCAUGGCUGCAGCAAUGUGAACCAUCUAAAUACCCAUAAGAUGGGGAAUGGCCAACUAAAUCUUCUUGCCUCCAUUCUAUCUAAUUCAAUGCUAAAGUAUUUUUUGAAGUGAUUUAAAUGCAUACCGGUACAAAACGGACAAUCACACAAAGUACUCUGUGUCAAAGAUGCAAAUCAUAGAAAAUGCCAGAACAUAGGUAUAAUAAAGCACACACAUGCACACUCAAAACAAAACUUUACUUUUUUAUCCAUGUAUGUGUAUGUAAAUCCCCAGACAAGAUUACUUCUGGAAAGGAAAGUUAGAUUUUGAGAGUAGCCUAGAGGAGAUCUUUCACUUACUAUAUUGUUUGAAUAUUUAAUAAAGUGAAUGUAUUCAUGUACUGCUUAUGUACAUCUUUUAAAAGAAAAAACCACCAGAUAAUAAUUGAAUGUAGUGAGUAUUAUUAGAGAAGUAUGUGUAAAGUAUGAUGGGGGAACCAAAAACAAUGCUGCUGGGGUGGGAUGGAGAGGAGGACGUGCCGCAGAGAUAGGGUAAUGCUGAGCUAGGCCUUGAAGGAGAAGAUGAUGGUGGCAUCCCAGAAAGAGAGGGGACCAUAUGCAGGGGCUCAGGGGCAUGGCAUGUAUGCUUUCAUUCAUUCAUCCCAUUAUUCACUCAACAAACAUUUGUGGAGUGUCACCUCUGAGCUCAGGAGUGUUUCAGGUGCUGGAGAGACAGCAGGGAACAGACAGACAAAGGUCCCUGCCCGCACGUUGCUUCUCUUCUAGUCUGUCUAGAUAGAUAACAUGCAAGAAACAAUCAAGAUGCAUAGUGUGACGGGGAGUGCUGUGCGGAGAAUAAUGCAGGGAAAGGAGGUGGGAGAUGCUGCGGUGGGAACGGGGUCCCCUACUUUAGUUGGGGUCACCAGAGAAGAUUGUGCUAGGAAGUAGCAUAAACAGAGAGCUGAAGGAGCUGAAAGAGCUAGCCAUGGUGACAACCAAGGGAAGAAUGUUCCAGCCACAAGGACAGCAGGUGCAGAGGACCCCAUGCAGGGCUGAGCUUGACGUGUCCCAGCAACCACCAGAAGGACAGCACGGCUGGAGUGGGUCAGCAAGAGGACAGAGAGACGGUGGAUGGAAGCUGGGAGGUGUCGUGCAAAGCUUUGUGAAAUGUGGAAAAGAUUUUAACUUUUCCUCUGGGCGGGGUAGGUGGGGGUGGGGAGCGGUCACUGGAGGCUGGGAAGUGGCUUGAUUCGUUAUAUGUUUCAAAGAUACCUUUGGAUGCUCGACUGAGAAGACUCCAGGGGGCGAACGUGGAGGCAGGGAGACAGUUGGGAGCCUCCGGCAUUUGCAGGGUCUGCUCAGGGCCUGGGCAGCUGAGUCACGGGGCGCUGGGUCACUACACACAGGGGUGGGAACACGGAAUCUCAACAGCACGUGGACAUCACUGGCCUCUUCCUCGGGUAGCAGCAUCCUGAUGCUCUUUGACCGACCUGCCUAUACCCUUGCAGGACCCAGAGGAAGAGUACAAAUGAAGGGCCAUAUACCACAUGCCCAGGGAUUUGAAAGUGAUAAAGCAAUCUAUUAAAGUGUCAUUUAAAAUAUGUACUAUCCUCCUAUCUUCAAAAUGACCCGGAAGGCCAAGUUCAAAUUUGGAAUCCUCUGACUUCUCAGAUUUUCUUGCCAGAAUAUAGCAGCAUGGGGAGAGCUGGCUCCUGGCUUAUGGCUCCCGGAUCCCUACCCUCCGCCUGUUCCCCACUUCUCUUCCUACUCCCAGCUCUGCCCAUCACUGUAGUGGCUUUUUGUACAUGUGUGAGUACAUCAUAACCUGCACAGUGAAAAUGGGUGGACAGCAGUCUUUACAUCCCCUCUGGCUUUCAUGUGCCAUGUGCCCUCGGGAGGACAGAUCCAGGGAAGAGCCAACUUGGGCAGGGAAGUCCAGGGUCUCCAUGACCAAGAGAAUGGUCCAGAAGGGAGGGUGCAGGUUGAGGUGGGCAAGUGCCCUUGGCCUGUGGCCUCCUUAUCCCGUGGGAAGACGUGAUGGGAGAAGGACUAGAGUGGAGACUUCUAGGGUGGAUGACUCAGUGCAGGGAUGUUUUCUGCAUGGGCUUAAGAAUGGCGCUGCCCUCCUCAAUCAAGCCGGCUGAGCUUAGGUCACUGCUCCUUACCCAAGGGACGUGGGACACUUUGGUUGGUAUUUCCUCUAAGAAGCUACACAAUGGUGGUGGGAGGUGGUUCUUAGGAAUUUAAAUCAUGAACGGAGGGGCUGAGGGAAAUGUCUUGGAGCUGGUUUGUACCAGCCACAGGGUCUUGAAGAGACUGUCGCUUAAGUCCUAUUCUCUGGAUUAUUGGAGGUCUCCUGGUUCCAGUCCUUUCUUAGGCUUCUUUGAUCAGCUAUGCCUUCCAUUCCAUGAGCUUUCUAAGGCUUGCACCAUUCAGAGAUAGUUACUGUGCCUGUAACCAAGAAACCCCACAAGAUGCAGGCUGUGUUACAAAGAAUUCCAUGUGCCACAUUAGGGUGGUUGAACUUUAGUCUGCAGAAAAUUGGAGGCUUUUAAACAGAGAGCUGGCUUUUUUUUUUUUUUCAAUGUCUCUAGAGAGACACAGAAGAUGGGCUGAAAGGGAAGAAACUCUGUCUGGCCUUCCUUGCUCCUCCAGCACUUCAAACGGUGGAUUAAACAGAGGCACCUAUUAUGAAAUAUAAGUUCAACUUCAAGAAAGAAAGAAGAAAUCUUCAGGGUAGGUAGGUGAGAGAGACACCAGGAGACUGGCGAUGAGCAAUUGAGCUCAUUUUCAGGCAAGAACAAAGAUUCAAGGCCGACUCCCAGGAAUUAGAGAUCGGGCAGUACAACAUCAAAUCCCAGUUCAAUUCUAGAAGACAUUAUAGAACAGAUGGUUUCUGAGCAGGGAGAAGCCAACGGAGGUUCAGUAUGACCAAGUCAUGCCAGACUCCUGUCAGCCCCAGCCUGCUCCUGUAUAGCUCCAUGAACUGGAAGUCUUCAGCAGUCAGAUGCAUAUUAGGUGCCUUGGCCUCACCACUAGUGCGGUCUUACUAACGCUGCCCUAAACUUGAUAUACGUGCCCUGAUUCCACUCAGUCAGCUUUUCCCUAAGCCUAUAAGGUCUCUUAGUCUCUUGCUGAAACCAUUAUCUAAGUCCACCUGUACAGGGUCUUGAAAUCCUGUUAAUCCCUUGCAAAGUUCUUCCUUGAGAAAACGCUCCCUUGAGAGACUGUCCUUGUGGUGGAUGUCUGCUGUCUCUCCAUGACCAGCAUCCACUUCCCCUUGUGCUGUAACAGCUUCGUAUCUGGCCUUGCUAAAGGACCCUUCCUCCACUCCCACUUCCGUGCUCAGCUCGGGGGAGCUCACUUUGUCUCCAGCCCUACAGCAUAUCUUUAUCAUAUGAGCAAGGAGCCGCCACUGAAGAGUUUUAGUAUGUCCCUAUGAGGACAGAGUCAAUGGCAGGAUGAUGUGAUCAGAGACGCAUCUGGGGAGAAUCCCUCUGGCUGCAGGGUGAGGAAGAAACUGCAUGCAAGAAGACCAGCCAGAAGACUGUGGGGAGUUUUGAGGAAAGAAAUGGCAGUUUGGACUAGCAUAUUGGCAGGAGGUGGAAGAGAAGUAGAUCGACUCGAGUGACUUUUAGGAAUUAAAGUCAACAGGCUGGUGAUGAAUUGGAGAUGGGGGAUGGAGGGAGAAAGAGAUGUCACAAAUGAUUCCUAAGUUUGCGCUUUGUGCAAGUGAAUGGAUCACGGUGACUUCACCGAAAGAGGGAAAUCAGAAAGAGAAGCAGACUCGAGGAAGGGAGUCAUGAAGAGCAUGGCUUCAGUUUGGAGUAUUUUGAAACACCUAAGAGAAAGUGUUAAGAGGCAAUUGGAUAUACAAAUAUGGAACACUGAGGAUGUAUCUGAGUUGGAAAUAUUAACUUGCCAGUCCACAUAGAAAGCCAAAGAUGUGCAUUGUAUCAGUGAGGGGAGAAGAGUGAGCCAGAGACCAACCUCAUAACUGUCCCCUCUGUGUUCCCUCCGACAACUCUCUCUUUCCAUCUUACAUUUAUGCUCUUGGUUUUUCUACCUCUCAAAAUGCAUGCACCCAUGACUUGUUCCUACUUAAACCCAAUCAUUCCCCCCCUGCUAAUUUCUGCAGAUGGUAUUUUGACUUUGUUAAAUAUUUUUCAUGGCAGAAUCAUAGCAAUGCCUUGCAUAGAGAUGGCAAAAGAGAUCUGGGCAGACGAUGAGGCUAAUUCUAUUUUGUCUUUUAUUGGUUCUUGAAAUGGAGACACCAGGCAUCUGGAAUCUGAAACCCUGUACUCUAUGCGUCCAGACCUCCUAUUCCAUACUUCAUGAAGCAUCUCCAGUUUGGGAGAUUACACAUUAGGACAGGAAUGGAUGAACUAGUUUAUGUCCUGUGGACAAGGGUCCGGCACAGAGAGCAGGCUGGAAGCCAUGCAGGAUGGGGAGCAAGGGGCUGGAACCGUGGCCGAGUGGUUAAGUUCACGCACUCCGCUGCAGGAAGCCCAGUGUUUCGUUGGCUCGAAUCCUGGACGUGGACAUGGCACUGCUCAUCAAACCACGCUGAGGCAGCGUCCCACAUGCCACAACUAGAAGGACCCACAACGAAG
This 12572-nucleotide long non-coding RNA is filed under the name Equus caballus (horse). RNAcentral describes it as "lncRNA (ENSECAG00000049109.1)". The record is from RNAcentral. Lineage: Eukaryota; Metazoa; Chordata; Mammalia; Perissodactyla; Equidae.